ACUUUAAUAGCUUAAUUUAGAGCUUUAUAUUGAAGAUAUAAGGGUGGGUUUGUUCCUUGAAGUA
This 64-nucleotide transfer RNA is filed under the name Embiophila sp. RNAcentral's name for it is "tRNA-Phe". The record is from RNAcentral. Lineage: Eukaryota; Metazoa; Arthropoda; Insecta; Hemiptera; Plokiophilidae.